AUGUCUAUAAACACACACACACAUAUAUAUAUAUAUAUAUAUAUAUAUGUGCGUUGUAUGCACAC
This 65-nucleotide microRNA precursor is filed under the name Oryza sativa Japonica Group (Japanese rice). RNAcentral's name for it is "mir-156 microRNA precursor". The record is from RNAcentral. Lineage: Eukaryota; Viridiplantae; Streptophyta; Magnoliopsida; Poales; Poaceae.